AGUGAACGCUGGCGGUAGGCCUAACACAUGCAAGUCGAACGGCAGCACAGGAGAGCUUGCUCUCUGGGUGGCGAGUGGCGGACGGGUGAGGAAUACAUCGGAAUCUACUUUUUCGUGGGGGAUAACGUAGGGAAACUUACGCUAAUACCGCAUACGACCUACGGGUGAAAGCAGGGGAUCUUCGGACCUUGCGCGAUUGAAUGAGCCGAUGUCGGAUUAGCUAGUUGGCGGGGUAAAGGCCCACCAAGGCGACGAUCCGUAGCUGGUCUGAGAAGAUGAUCAGGCACACUGGAACUGAGACACGGUCCAGACUCCUACGGGAGGCAGCGGUGGGGAAUAUUGGACAAUGGGCGCAAGCCUGAUCCAGCCAUACCGCGUGAGUGAAGAAGGCCCUCGGGUUGUAAAGCCCUUUUGUUGGGAAAGAAAUCCAGCUGGUUAAUACCCGGUUGGGAUGACGGUACCCAAAGAAUAAGCACCGGCUAACUUCGUGCCAGCCGCCGCCGUAA
This 506-nucleotide ribosomal RNA is filed under the name uncultured bacterium. RNAcentral's name for it is "partial 16S ribosomal RNA". It matches the Rfam family "Bacterial small subunit ribosomal RNA", at positions 29 to 523 of the family's 1533-position model. The record is from RNAcentral.